This 1164-nucleotide long non-coding RNA is filed under the name Anser cygnoides (Swan goose). RNAcentral's name for it is "lncRNA (ENSACDG00005008447.1)". Lineage: Eukaryota; Metazoa; Chordata; Aves; Anseriformes; Anatidae. The record is from RNAcentral.
GGUGCAAGGACACCCUGUGCUACAAGGAUGCUCAGUGUUGCAGGGAUGCUCCAUGUUGUAAGGAUGCUCCUUGUUGUGAGGAUACUCCGUGUUGCAAGGGUGCUCCGUGUUGCAAGGACACUGCACGUCUCAGGGAUGCUCCUUGUUGCAAGGAUGCUCCUUGUUGCAAGGAUGCUCCAUGCUACAAGGAUGCUCCGAGUUGCAAGGAUGCUCCGAGUUGCAAGGAUGCUCCGAGUUGCAAGGAUGCUCCGAGUUGCAAGGACGUCCCUUGCUAUGAGGAUGCUCCGAGUUGCAAGGAUGCUCCGUGUUGCAAGGACGCUCCAUGCUGCAAGCUUGUUCCAUGCUGCAAGGAUACUCUGAGUUAUGACGCUCCUUGUUGCAGGGAUGCUCCUUGUUGCAGGGACGCUCCUUGUUGCAGGGACGCUCCUUGUUGCAGGGAUGCUCCCUGUUGCAAGCUUGUCCCACGCCGUGGGGACGCCCCAUGCCACGGGCGUGCUCCGUGCUGCGGGGCUGGGCUGCGUUGCAAGGACGUCGCGGGCCGUGGGGCUGCUCCGUGCGGGGCUGCUCCAUGCCUUGGGGUCGCUCCGUGCCGCGGGGAUGGUCCCUAAAGGGAUUCGUGCAGGAAUUCUCCGUGCCCAGAGGAUGCUCCGUGCCACGGGGUCGCUCCGUGCACGGCUGCUCUGCGCCACGGGGACGCUCUUGGCCUUCGGGAUGCUCGGUGCCACGGGGACACCCGAUGCCCAGGGGACACCCGAUGCCCAGGGGACGCUCUUGGCCGUGGGGAUGGUCCAUAAAGGGAUUCUCCGUGCAGGAAUUCUCCGUGCCAUGGGGUCGCUCCGUGCCAUGGGGUCGCUCCGUGCCAUGGGGACGUUCCGUGCCAUGGGGACGCUCCGUGCCAUGGGGACGCUCUUGGCCACGGGGACACCCAAAGUCCAGGGGCUGCUCCGUGCCAUGGGGCUGCUCCGUGCCAUGGGGCUGCUCCGUGCCAUGGGGACGCUCCGUGCCAUGGGGACACCCAAAGCCCAGGGGACGCUCCGUGCCAUGGGGCUGCUCCAUUCCCAGGGGAUUCUCCGUGCCCCGGCGCUGCUCCGUUCCCAGGGGACUCCCCGCGCCGCAGCCGUGCCCGGCACCCUCCGGGCCCCCUCGUGCGCCCGCGGCGGGGCC